RNAcentral lists this ribosomal RNA (293 nucleotides) under Kiekie barrocolorado. Its description in RNAcentral is "partial small subunit ribosomal RNA". Lineage: Eukaryota; Metazoa; Arthropoda; Arachnida; Araneae; Ctenidae. The record is from RNAcentral.
UUAUAUUGGCGGCAAUAAAUCUAAUUAAAGGAACUUGUUUAAUAAUCGAUAAUUCACGUUUAAUUUUACUUAAAUUAAAAAUUUAUAUACCGCCAUUUCAGAGUUUAUUUUUGUAAAUAAUUCAAAAUAAUAAAUAAAAAAAUAGGUCAAGGUGUAAUCUAUAUUUUAGAAUAAAUGAGUUACAUUAAAAAUUAUUUAAGGAACAAUUAAUUAUAAUUAAUUAUAAAAAAGAAUUUAUAUGUAAUAUUAUAAUAAAAUUUCAAUAUGAAUUAGAUAAUAAUUGUGCACACAUC